AAAGAGCUGUUCUGACCCCAAAAAUGGUACUGGCAGCAACCGUAGACUAUUAACAUUUUGAUAACAAAUACAUCCUUUCAUCAUUUUUGAUGGUAGAAAGUAUGCUGAUUUGAGGAUCUCUUAUAGCUAAAAGGGUUGUGUUCCUACUCCGAAGUGAU
This is a long non-coding RNA of Empidonax traillii (willow flycatcher), 158 nucleotides long. RefSeq lists it as uncharacterized. Lineage: Eukaryota; Metazoa; Chordata; Aves; Passeriformes; Tyrannidae. The transcript has 3 exons. The record is from RefSeq and is a predicted model, not a curated record.